CGACGUGUCACUAAUUCUGUUUUUGACUAAUGUUUUAAAGUACUCGGAGGAGUUUCUGCAAUAAUCUUUAAAUGUAUCGCAGUUUCGAAUUUCUUCAGGUAAAGAAUGGAACACUCGAGCUGGUCGAUCUUGGAAGGUUCCAGAGAUAAUAGGGACUACUAGACGCCGGGCAGAUGAUGAUCGUAAUGUUCUUAUAGGAAUAUAUUCCUCUAAUUUUAAGUAUGAAGGCCAGUCAUCACAAUUCAUUGCUUUGUAUGC
Non-coding RNA from Paramuricea clavata, 258 nucleotides. The record is from the annotation of a GenBank genome assembly. Lineage: Eukaryota; Metazoa; Cnidaria; Anthozoa; Malacalcyonacea; Plexauridae.